This 691-nucleotide ribosomal RNA is filed under the name uncultured Pseudomonadota bacterium. RNAcentral describes it as "bacterial SSU rRNA". It matches the Rfam family "Bacterial small subunit ribosomal RNA", at positions 46 to 725 of the family's 1533-position model. Lineage: Bacteria; Pseudomonadati; Pseudomonadota. The record is from RNAcentral.
GCCUAACACAUGCAAGUCGAACGGCAGCACAGGAGAGCUUGCUCUCUGGGUGGCGAGUGGCGGACGCGGUGAGGAAUACAUCGGAAUCUACCUUUUCGUGGGGGAUAACAUAGGGAAACUUACGCUAAUACCGCAUACGACCUACGGGUGAAAGUGGGGGACCGCAAGGCCUCACGCGAUUAGAUGAGCCGAUGUCCGAUUAGCUAGUUGGCGGGGUAAUGGCCCACCAAGGCGACGAUCGGUAGCUGGUCUGAGAGGAUGAUCAGCCACACUGGAACUGAGACACGGUCCAGACUCCUACGGGAGGCAGCAGUGGGGAAUAUUGGACAAUGGGCGCAAGCCUGAUCCAGCCAUACCGCGUGGGUGAAGAAGGCCUUCGGGUUGUAAAGCCCUUUUGUUGGGAAAGAAAUCCUAUCGGUUAAUAACCGGUGGGGAUGACGGUACCCAAAGAAUAAGCACCGGCUAACUUCGUGCCAGCAGCCGCGGUAAUACGAAGGGUGCAAGCGUUACUCGGAAUUACUGGGCGUAAAGCGUGCGUAGGUGGUGGUUUAAGUCUGCUGUGAAAGCCCUGGGCUCAACCUGGGAAUUGCAGUGGAUACUGGAUCACUAGAGUGUGGUAGAGGGAUGCGGAAUUUCUGGUGUAGCAGUGAAAUGCGUAGAGAUCAGAAGGAACAUCCGUGGCGAAGGCGGC